GAUGAACGCUGGCGGCGUGCCUAAUACAUGCAAGUCGAGCGAACGGACGAGAAGCUUGCUUCUCUGAUGUUAGCGGCGGACGGGUGAGUAACACGUGGAUACCCUACCUAUAAGACUGGGAUAACUUCGGGAAACCGGAGCUAAUACCGGAUAAUAUUUUGAACCGCAUGGUUCAAAAGUGAAAGACGGUCUUGCUGUCACUUAUAGAUGGAUCCGCGCUGCAUUAGCUAGUUGGUAAGGUAACGGCUUACCAAGGCAACGAUGCAUAGCCGACCUGAGAGGGUGAUCGGCCACACUGGAACUGAGACACGGUCCAGACUCCUACGGGAGGCAGCAGUAGGGAAUCUUCCGCAAUGGGCGAAAGCCUGACGGAGCAACGCCGCGUGAGUGAUGAAGGUCUUCGGAUCGUAAAACUCUGUUAGUAGGGAAGAACAGAUGUGUAAGUAACUGUGCACAUCUUGACGGUACCUAAUCAGAAAGCCACGGCUAACUACGUG
Molecule: ribosomal RNA, 497 nt
Filed under: uncultured bacterium
Lineage: Bacteria
Description: partial 16S ribosomal RNA
Rfam family: Bacterial small subunit ribosomal RNA
Source: RNAcentral